This 450-nucleotide ribosomal RNA is filed under the name uncultured bacterium. Its description in RNAcentral is "bacterial SSU rRNA". It matches the Rfam family "Bacterial small subunit ribosomal RNA", at positions 340 to 784 of the family's 1533-position model. The record is from RNAcentral.
UACGGAAGGCAGCAGUGGGGAAUAUUGCACAAUGGGCGCAAGCCUGAUGCAGCCAUGCCGCGUGUAUGAAAAAGGCCUUCGGGUUGUAAAGUACUUUCAGUCGUGAGGAAGGUGUUAAGGUUAAUAACCUUAGCAAUUGACGUUAGCGACAGAAGAAGCACCGGCUAACUCCGUGCCAGCAGCCGCGGUAAUACGGAGGGUGCGAGCGUUAAUCGGAAUUACUGGGCGUAAAGGGCACGCAGGCGGUUAAUUAAGUUGGAUGUGAAAUCCCCGGGCUUAACCUGGGAAUGGCAUUCAAGACUGGUUAGCUAGAGUCUUGUAGAGGGGGUAGAAUUCCAUGUGUAGCGGUGAAUGCGUAGAGAUGUGGAGGAAUACCGGUGGCGAAGGCGGCCCCUGGACAAAGACUGACGCUCAUGUGCGAAAGCGUGGGGAGCAAACAGGGAUUAGAUA